AGAGUUUGAUCCUGGCUCAGGACGAACGCUGGCGGCGUGCUUAACACAUGCAAGUCGAACGCUGAUCCAUCUUCGGGUGGUGAUGAGUGGCGAACGGGUGAGUAACACGUGGGCAACCUGCCCCCGGCUCUGGGAUAACUCCAAGAAAUUGGGGCUAAUACCGGAUGUCCUCUGCUGGCCGCAUGGUCUGGUGGUGGAAAGGGUUUCCGGCUGGGGAUGGGCCCGCGGCCUAUCAGCUUGUUGGUGGGGUAGUGGCCUACCAAGGCGACGACGGGUAGCCGGCCUGAGAGGGUGACCGGCCACACUGGGACUGAGACACGGCCCAGACUCCUACGGGAGGCAGCAGUGGGGAAUAUUGCGCAAUGGGCGGAAGCCUGACGCAGCGACGCCGCGUGGGGGAUGACGGCCUUCGGGUUGUAAACCUCUUUCAGCAGGGACGAAGCCGGAAGGUGACGGUACCUGCAGAAGAAGCACCGGCCAACUACGUGCCAGCAGCCGCGGUAAUACGUAGGGUGCAAGCGUUGUCCGGAAUUAUUGGGCGUAAAGAGCUCGUAGGCGGUUCGUCGCGUCGGCUGUGAAAACCUGAGGCUCAACCUCAGGCCUGCAGUCGAUACGGGCGGACUGGAGUUCGGCAGGGGAGACUGGAAUUCCUGGUGUAGCGGUGAAAUGCGCAGAUAUCAGGAGGAACACCGGUGGCGAAGGCGGGUCUCUGGGCCGAUACUGACGCUGAGGAGCGAAAGCGUGGGGAGCGAACAGGAUUAGAUACCCUAGUAGUCC
Molecule: ribosomal RNA, 777 nt
Filed under: uncultured bacterium
Lineage: Bacteria
Description: bacterial SSU rRNA
Rfam family: Bacterial small subunit ribosomal RNA
Source: RNAcentral